This 466-nucleotide ribosomal RNA is filed under the name uncultured bacterium. Its description in RNAcentral is "partial 16S ribosomal RNA". It matches the Rfam family "Bacterial small subunit ribosomal RNA", at positions 28 to 507 of the family's 1533-position model. The record is from RNAcentral.
GAUGAACGCUGGCGGCGUGCUUAACACAUGCAAGUCGAACGGAAAGGCUCCUGCUUGCAGGGGUACUCGAGUGGCGAACGGGUGAGUAACACGUGGGUGAUCUGCCCUGCACUUCGGGAUAAGCCUGGGAAACUGGGUCUAAUACCGGAUAGGACGAUGGUUUGGAUGCCAUUGUGGAAAGUUUUUCGGUGUGGGAUGAGCUCGCGGCCUAUCAGCUUGUUGGUGGGGUAAUGGCCUACCAAGGCGUCGACGGGUAGCCGGCCUGAGAGGGUGUACGGCCACAUUGGGACUGAGAUACGGCCCAGACUCCUACGGGAGGCAGCAGUGGGGAAUAUUGUACAAUGGGCGCAAGCCUGAUGCAGCGACGCCGCGUGGGGGAUGACGGCCUUCGGGUUGUAAACUCCUUUCGCUAGGGACGAAGCGUUUUGUGACGGUACCUGGAGAAGAAGCACCGGCUAACUACGUG